This is a non-coding RNA of Capsicum annuum, 105 nucleotides long. The record is from Rfam. NCBI's taxonomy places the organism in Eukaryota, Viridiplantae, Streptophyta, Magnoliopsida, Solanales, Solanaceae.
UAUUGGUGAUGUGGACAAUCUCAAAGAAGAGCCUUAAAGCACUCCUAAGUAUGAUAGAGGUUUUCAUCUGUCCUCUGUUUGAAGCUAACUAUCUCACAACAAAGU